AUACGUAGGGUGCGAGCGUUAAUCGGAAUUACUGGGCGUAAAGCGUGCGCAGGCGGUUUUGUAAGUCAGAUGUGAAAUCCCCGGGCUUAACCUGGGAACUGCGUUUGAAACUGCAAGGCUAGAGUGUGGCAGAGGGGGGUGGAAUUCCGCGUGUAGCAGUGAAAUGCGUAGAUAUGUGGAGGAACACCGAUGGCGAAGGCAGCCCCCUGGGUCAACUCUGACGCUCAGGCACGAAAGCAUGGGGAGCAAACAGGAUUAGAUACCCCGGUAGUCC
Molecule: ribosomal RNA, 274 nt
Filed under: uncultured bacterium
Lineage: Bacteria
Description: partial 16S ribosomal RNA
Rfam family: Bacterial small subunit ribosomal RNA
Source: RNAcentral